Molecule: ribosomal RNA, 260 nt
Filed under: uncultured bacterium
Lineage: Bacteria
Description: partial 16S ribosomal RNA
Rfam family: Bacterial small subunit ribosomal RNA
Source: RNAcentral
GUCCACGCCCUAAACGAUGGAUACUCGACAUACGCGAUACACUGUGUGUGUCUGAGCGAAAGCAUUAAGUAUCCCACCUGGGAAGUACGUUCGCAAGAAUGAAACUCAAAGGAAUUGGCGGGGUCCGCACAAGCGGUGGAGUAUGUGGUUUAAUUCGAUGAUACGCGAGGAACCUUACCUGGGCUAGAAUGCUGGGAGACCGCUAGUGAAAGCUAGUUUUGUAGCAAUACACUGCCAGUAAGGUGCUGCAUGGCCGUCGU